AACAAGCUCAGUCCGAUGACACCGCCCCAGACCACGACGGACCCUCCACCUCCAAACCGAUCCCACUCUAGAGUACAGGCCUCUGUGUAAUGCUAAUUCCUUCGACGAUAAACGUGAAUCCGACCAUCACCCCUGGUGAGACAAAACCGCGACUUGUCAGUGAAGAGCACUUUUUGCCAGUCCUGUCUGGUCCAGCGACGGUGGGUCUGUGCCCAUAGGCGACUUUAUUGCCGGUGAUGUCUGGUGAGGACCUGCCUUACAACAGGCCUACAAGCCCUCAGUCCAGCUUCUCUCAGCCUAUUGCAGACAGUCUGAGCACUGAUGGAGGGAUUGUGUGUUCCUGGUGUAACUCAGGCAGUUGUUGUUGCCAUCCUGUACCUGUCCCGCAGGUGUGAUGUUCGGAUGUACCAAUCCUGUGCAGGUGUUGUUACACGUGCUUUGCCACUGUAAGGACAAUCAGCUGUCCGUCCUGUCUCCCUGUAGCACUGUCUUAGGUGUCUCUCAGUACGGAUAUUGCAAUUUAUGACCCUUUGCACAUGUGCAUUCCUCCUUACAGCAUGCCAAGGCACGUUCACACAGAUGAGCAGGGACACUGGGAAUCGUUAUUUUGGUGUUUUUCAGAGUCACUAGAACGGCCUCUUUACUGUCCUAAGUUUUCAUAACUGUGACCUUAAUUUCCUACCGUCUGUAAGCUGUUAGUGUCUUAACGACUGUUCCACAGGUGCAUGUUCAUUAAUUGUUUAUGGUUCAUUGAACAAGCAUGAGAAACUAUGUUUAAAUCCUUUACAAUGAAGAUCUGUGAAGCUAUUUGGAUGUUUGAUUAUCUUUGAAAGACGGUCCUGAAAAAGGGUGUGUGUGUACACAGUUAGUCGGAAGUUUGCAUACCAAAUACAUUAAUUCAGUUUCACGAUUCCUGACAUUUAAUCCUAGUUAAAAUGCCCCGUCUUAGGUCAGUAAGGAUCUCCACUUUAUUUUCGGAAUAAUAGUAAAGGAAAACUAUUUAUUUCAGAUUUUAUGUCUUUCAUCACAUUCCCAGUGGGUCAGAAGUUUACAUACACUCAAUUAGUAUUUGGUAGCAUUGCCAUUUAAAUUGUUUAACUUGGGUCAAACGUUUCAGGUUGCCUUCUACAAGCUUCCCACAAUAAGUUGGGUGAAUUUGUCACAUACCUCCUUACUGUGCUUUUGUAACUGAGUCUGGUUUCUAGGCCUCCUUGCUCGCACACGCUUUUUCAGUUCUGCCCACACAUUUUCUAUGGGAUUGAGGUCAGGGCUUUGUGAUGGCCACGCCAAUACCUUGACUUUGUUGUCCUUAAGCCAUUUUGCCACAACUUUGGAAGUAUGCUUGGGGUAAUUGUCCAUUUGGAAGACCCAUUUGCUAACAAGCCCUAGCUUCCUGACUGAUGUCUUGAGUUGUUGCUUCAAUACAUCCACAUAAUUUUCUCUCCUCGUGAUGCCAUCUAUUUUGUGAAGUGCACCAGUCCCUCCUGCAGCAAAGCACCCCCACAACAUGAUGCUGCUACCCCUGUGCUUCACGGUUGGGAUGGAGUUCUUCGACUUGCAAGCCUCCCUCUUUUUCCUCCAAAUAUAACGUUGGUCAUUAUGGCCAAACAGUUCUAUUGUUAUUUCAUCAGACCAGAGGACAUUUCUCCAAAAAGUACAAGCUUUGUCCCCAUGUGCAGUUGCAAACCGUAGUCUGGCUUUUUUUAUGGCGGUUCUAGAGCAGUGGCCUUUUCAUUGCUGAGUGGCCUUUCAGGUUAUGUCGAUAUAGGACUUGUUUUGCUGUUUCCUCCAGCGACUUGACAAGAUCCUUUGCUGCUGUUCUGGGAUUGAAAGUACAUUUCCAAAGUACGUCUCCUUCCUGAGCGGUAUGCCGGCUGCGUGGUCCCAUGGUGUUUGUACAGAUGAACGUGGUACCUUCAGGCGUUUGGAAAUUUCUCCCAAGAAUGAAUCAGACUUUUUUUCUGAGGUCUUGGCUGAUUUAUUUGGAUGUUCCCAUGAUGCCAAGCAAAAGGGCACUGAGUUUGAAGGUAGGCCUUGAAAGCCAUGAUGUCAUUUUCUGGAAUUUUCCAAGCUGUUUAAAGGCACAGUCAACUUAGUGUAUGUAAACUUCUGACUUACUGGAAUUGUGAUCCAGUGAAAUAAUCUGUCUGUAAACAAUUGUUGGAAAAAUUACUUGUGUCAUGCACAAAGUAGAUGUCCUAACCGACUUGCAAAAACGACAGUUUGUUAACAAGACAUGUGUGCAGUGGUUCAAAAAAGUAGUUUUAAUGACUCCAACCUAAGUGUAUGUAAACUUCUGACUUCAAUUCACAACUGCUGUUAGUCAAAACCAAUACUGCGCUGUGGUCAUGUUUCUGUGCUCCAUUGAAGUGCUUAUCAGUGUCCAAAUGUUUCAACUCUUAUAUGGAUCCAAGUGUAAAGGGCUACCACACUGAAUAAGGCUUCAUUUGACCACAUCCUUGUACCCAGACACUAACACUGCCAUUGGCAACAGGUGGUCCGGUUCGGGCAUGUCCCGUAUUCCCAUCCAUUUUUAUUGAACCUUUAUUGAAUUAGGCAAGUCAGUUAAGAACAAAUUCUUAUUGACAAUGACAGCCUAGGAACAGUGGGUUGACUGCCUUGUUUAGGGGCAGAAUUACAGCUUUUUACCUCGGCUCAGGGAUUUGAUCUAGCAACCUUUCGGAUACUGGCCCAACGCUCUAACCACUAGGCUGCCUGCCGCCCCGCUAAGCUUCCUGUCGCCCCAAUCUCCUUGUCUAUGUUCCGAUUGGCACCCUAUUCCCUAUAUUAGGGCUGUCCCCGACUAGCAAACAUCUUGGUUGGCCGAAAGUAGUCUGUUCUUUCGACCAAAUCGAAUAGUCUACAUUUUAAACGUGUAUUUUCCGUACAGACACACCCUAUGUGUUUUAAUAAGACAAAGAACAAUUAAAACGUAACCCGACAACUAUUCUCUUCCUGCUGGCUUUCUUGGGUCUGUCCUGAAGCUUGGCUCGUGAACAUGCAACGUUGCAUAACAUAUUCUGGACCCUCGGUUUCUUGCACCAGUGAGCUCGGGACAGACACAGCUGUUGGCUAUAUGUGCUCGUGUAAGGGGUCCUAUGUGUAGCUGGUGUUGGAGUCCGGCGCAGGACAGCAGAUAUGAGUAAUCAAAGUAUUUUACUCAUAAAAUACAAAUAUACAAGGCAAACCUGAAAGCCCCGUAUCACAAAUAAUCACUCACGAACACAACAUGGGGAACAGAGGGUUAAAUAAUAACGAGUAAUUGGUUGAGUGAAGCCAGGUGUGAAUAGGCACAUACAUGAAAAGUGGAUCGGCGGUGGCUAGAAAGCCGGUGACAUCGACCGCCGAACGCCUCCCGAACAAGGAAGAGGGACCGACUUCGGCGGAGGUCGUGACAGCCUGACUUCGGCAGGAACUCACCAGAGCUGAGAAACGUCAAAUGUUCUACUGCUUGACCUCCUCUUCCUCUUUUUAUAAAAUAUUACACUAAAUAUAAACUGCACCUAAAUAUAAACAGUACCGGCACCCAAAAUCCAUACCGGAACCUAUUUCAGUUCAAGUCCUGCACUGAUAACAAGUAAUUAAGUCGGCCUAUUUUAUGACAUUUCAGAGCAUUACAUUUUUCCCUUUCAAGCUGAGUGGUUAUUGAAAGGGAGAGAGCUUGAAAUAUAUUGAGGAACUAUUGUCAUUCUCAAUGGAUGUAAAAACAUUAGACUUUGUUUGCCUGCUGUUUGAGGUGGUGAAAACAUUACAUUGAUCUCCACAGGUCAUUAGUGGUGGUGAAGACAUUACAUUGAUCUCCACAGGUCAUUAGUGGUGGUGAAGACAUUACAUCGAUCUCCACAGGUCAUUAGUGGUGGUGAAGACAUUACAUCGAUCUCCACAGGUCAUUAGUGGUGGUGAAGACAUUACGUCGAUCUCCACAGGUCAUUAGUGGUGGUGAAGACAUUACAUUGAUCUCCACAGGUCAUUAGUGGUGGUGAAGACAUUACGUCGAUCUCCACAGGUCAUUAGUGGUGGUGAAGACAUUACAUCGAUCUCCACAGGUCAUUAGUGGUGGUGAAGACAUUACGUCGAUCUCCACAGGUCAUUAGUGGUGGUGAAGACAUUACAUUGAUCUCCACAGGUCAUUAGUGGUGGUGAAGACAUUACGUCGAUCUCCACAGGUCAUUAGUGGUGGUGAAGACAUUACAUCGAUCUCCACAGGUCAUUAGUGGUGGUGCGUUAAGCCAAUAAGAAAUAUCAGAUCCUCAAAUGGGCACAUUUUAUAUGCCCACGUUUGCCCGCUGGCCAGGUAGUCUAUAGGCCCACUUCUACUCAACAUUGACAGGAGGCCCCUCAAAGGACACUGACUAAAUUGACAAAACUGGUAAAUGGAAAUAAGCCUAAAUGUGUUAAUGACAAGUGUAGCAUAGGUUGUGCACUCUGACAAUGAUAGCUGGAAGACUGGAAUAAUAAUAUUGAUUGCAUUAACAGAAAAGACCAUAACCAAAGUAACAAACAUUGUAGAUUUAGAUAUAUUAUAGGAAUUAACUGGGGAUGUGUGUAAUGGGGAAUUGAUAGACGCUAACAAUCAACACAAACAAUUCACACAAUGAAGUUAUAAAACAAUGAAUGUGCACAUAUUGGCAGGAGAGACAUUCUGGAGAGGCAAGUGCAUUGUGCAUCUGGACACAUGGUCAAUCUGACAUCUGCUUUGGCCAUGCAGCAUUUACAGUGAAACGGCCUCAGAAGUCAGGGCUGUCGUCAAGGAAGUGAGUGUGUUUUCUACAGGAUGUACCGCCCCCACCUAGCCGUCAACCAAUCAUGUCAAUUACGGAAAUCUACAGAGCCCUCUGCAUUGUCCCACCCUCCCAUAUGGAGCCUCCGACCACAUUUUAGUCUAGGCCUCCACAAUGGAUUAGUUCACUGAGAUGGGUGCAAAUGUAUAGAGAUAUUUGUUACUGCUUGACUAAAAAGAACAACAUUUUGCUCGACCAACAGCGUUACGACCAAGCAAUUGACCUGUCGACUAAUUGGGGGCAGUCCUACCCUAUAUAGUGCACAACUAUUGACAAGAGCUGCCAUUUCAAUCCCAUCACCAUGUGUACUGUUAUUUAACCCGUGUUCUGGGAUUCAAACCCAUUACCACGUAUACUGUUAUUAAACCCUUGUUCUGGGAUUCAAACCCAUCACCAUGUGUACUGUUAUUUAACCCGUGUUCUGGGAUUCAAACCCAUUACCACGUAUACUGUUAUUAAACCCUUGUUCUGGGAUUCAAACCCAUCACCAUGUGUACUGUUA
Molecule: long non-coding RNA, 5283 nt
Organism: Oncorhynchus keta (chum salmon)
Lineage: Eukaryota; Metazoa; Chordata; Actinopteri; Salmoniformes; Salmonidae
Exons: 3
Source: RefSeq, a predicted model, not a curated record